GGUUGUCCAGAAGCAGCGUGGGAAUCUGAAGCCCUUGCAGGGUGGGAAAUGCAAGGAUCCAGGUUUGCGUGAACGAAAUCCAUCUAAGUCAUGUCCUGGAAUCCACUGUCUCUAAUUCCAAAUAUAUCCAUGCAGGGUGUAGUUAUUCAGUUGGAGAGAAAAGGUUGGUGCUACCGUCUCCCACCUCACAACUCUUAAAGCAGCAGCAUGCUGCAGGCAAGAGCAGCAGAGGACAAGAGAGGGAGGCAGUAGGCACACAAAAUGGAGGCAGACACAACAUGGCUGACUGAGAAAUGUAAGAUUGAACUUGUGAGAACUAUUGACUCACACUAGCUCAUGAAUACAGACUUACAUGCAGGCUGUGAUCCUUAAAGGCCAAAUCAAUGAACUCCACUCAUGUAGUUCUUCUGAAACUGAGGAGGCUACAACAGUGUGGUGCUUAAAUCACCCCCUAAGAAGACGUGCAUCAACUGGAGGAAGAAAAAAAAGGGAUGCUGUUUAAGGAUGCAGCCAACAUUCUGCACUCCAUUCUGUGUAAUACUUCUUUCUAAGUCCCUCUGAGAACUUUGUCGCCUCGGGCUGCGUCACGGAUGGAGAGGCACCCAGUCACAACAGCCUCCAUUUCUUUUGCUAAGAAAUAUACAGGAGAAAGAGGAAGCUUUCUAAGAAUCAGAGUCAGGCCGGCUCCUUUGCACACAUUACUGCCUCUGCAAGAGGUAUUUAACACACAUCACACUUGCAGCAUGUGAUAAUAUCACAGUAAUAUUAUUUUUAUCACAACUGUCUAGAGCAGGAGUUUCCAGAUAUUGUGGGGCUACAGUUUCCAUCUUCUGUAGUCUUUGUCCAGUGUAAUGGAGGAUGAUGGGAGUUAUAGUCCAAUAAUAUCGGGAGAGCCAAGGUUGGGAACCCCUGCUGUUGGGAAGUAAGUUUUAUUAUCAAAUAACAUCAUCAAAUGUUAUUUGAUAACAAUACUUAAUCUGCUUGCAGGGUUUUUAAAAUCAGGAUUACAAGAUAAUUCACGUGAAGUGCUUUCGACACUCAGAGGUUCCAUACAAAUGCUAAACAUUAAGGCAGUUCAAGGAACUUCACAUGAUUGAAAACUGGGUAGGACAAGUGUCCUACUCACCUUCAGGAACUCCCGAUUUUCUAUUGUGUGUGAGAAAACAACUAUGUAGCAGGAGGGAGGAGUGAUUGUGAGGCUGUCCACAUGAGCAAUGUGGAGAGCCGAGGAGGGAUCUGUGGGGAGAGCAGGCUUGACCCACUGUCCCCACAGACAAUCAUAUAGUGAGCCCUCGGCAGCCAGAUCGGCCACCCACACGAUUACUGGCUCCAUCAUGGAGCCGUUAGGGGUGGUGGGGAUCGGGGGCCACCUGGUCCCCGGAAGUCCCAGGAUGCUCGGGGCAUUCUGGGGGGACCCCCAAGGCUGGAAGGCUUGUUGUAAGAGCUGGGUACAUAUGAAUAAAGGAGACUGCCUUAUACUGAGUCACACUAUUGGUCCAUCUAGCUCAGUAUUGUCUACCUGGCAGUGGCUUCUCCACUUCAGACUGGCAGUGGCUUCUCCAAGGCUGCAGGCAGGAGUCUCUCCCAGCCCUUUCUGGAAAUGCCAGGAACCUGGAACCUUUUGCAUGGAAGCAUGCAGAUGCUCUUCCCUGAGCGGCCCCAUCUCCUAAGGGGAAUAUCUUACAGUGCUCAUCUGUAGCCUGCUUGUGUGGAUCAUGCUUAGCAAAGGGGGCAACUGAUGCUUGCUACAACAAGACCAGCUCUUCAUCAAUACCAUCCUACCCAGCUCCUCUCACACAAACAAUCAUUCUCCCCUCCUCCUGCCUAAGUGUUUGCUCACACACAGUCAAACACUGGGAGCACAUACAGCUUCCAAAGCUGGGUACCUUCUUAACAAUCGUGUGGACUGCCUUAUUAUGUCAUGGUUAGAAUGAUCUCAAAGGUUAGGAGUUCUACAAUACUGAGCAAGCUUGGCGCAUCAGAUAUCAAAGAAAAUAUUAACAGUUGGUUUGACUCUAAGUGUUUUAAUAUAUUGGUGCAAAGUCAAAUCAGUGUGAGAAAUGAAUUCUGAAACAAUGAACAUUGAUAGGAACAUAGGAAGCUGCCAUAUACUGAGUCAGACGGUUGGUCCGUCCAGCUCAGUAUUGUUUACACUCCCUGGCAGUGGCUUCUCCAAGGUUGAAGGCAGGAAUCUCUCUCAGCCCUAUCUUGGAUCCUCCUCAGUUAAGCAGCUAAGGAAAACAAUUUAUGGAGAGAUCCUAGAAGUGGGGUUUUUAAAACCUGAUUUAGAAUGUAAACGCUACAAACACCGCACUUCACAGUACUUGUUGUAACCCGAUCAUCCUAUCGCUCUCUUUAAGGAGAAAAACGUCCCUUUCCAUUUAAGGGAAACGAGGUGGCGUUUAUACCACCAAGUACUACCGCUUAAUGCGGCUAAGCCAUGGCUCCCAGAGGACAAGCAAGAGUGUCCUAAAAUCACCUGCAAACAGAAAGCUAGUGAGCUAGGCAAAACAUUCAGGGAAACUCAUUCACAUUUCUUAAGAGUAUGUGGUAGCCAAAAGAGUGAGACAGGGAGUAAGCAAGUUGUUAGAGUGGCCUGAUUUGGAAAAACAGACUUGGGAAGAACUAUCCUCGGGUUUGAGCGAUAGAACCUCUUUUCGAGGUCCCAGAAAGAAACCUUCAAGGAAACGAGAUGGAACAGGUGCCCUCAUACUAGGGAAUUGGAACGUUCUCCUUCUCGUAAUCAGGUUAGUAAACCUGUAUAUCAUUUAUGCAAUGCUCCUGCAUAGGAAUAGGGAGGGAAGAGGUUCACGUGGAAGAGACAGUAAAUCUCUUCUGGAAAAGUUUGUAUGGUUAUGUGCAAAAAGACAAGUGUAUCUGUUCUUAACAGCAAUGGGACAAAUUAUGGAAAUGGACGUUGGAUGUAACCCCCUCCCCCCCCCGAUUACCUGAUGUGCCUUGUAAUCCCCCAUCCCCGAGUUACAGUACUGCCUGCAUAUACUUUAUAACCCUGUGGAUUUCCAAAUCCUUGUGUGUAAAUCUUUGUAGAUAUAUGAUGUACAAACAACCACUUUGUAUAUAAUUGUGCUUUGGCAACGUACUGUAUGCUUUGGUAGUUUGUUGGUUCAAUUAAAAAAAAUU
Hemicordylus capensis (graceful crag lizard) is the source of this 3141-nucleotide long non-coding RNA. RefSeq lists it as uncharacterized. Lineage: Eukaryota; Metazoa; Chordata; Lepidosauria; Squamata; Cordylidae. The record is from RefSeq and is a predicted model, not a curated record. The transcript is spliced from 5 exons.